AAGAGACAGCAGUAGCCGCGGUAAUACGAAGGGGGCUAGCGUUGUUCGGAAUUACUGGGCGUAAAGGGCGCGUAGGCGGCCAUUCAAGUUAGAUGUGAAAGCCCUGGGCUCAACCUAGGAAUUGCAUUUGAUACUGUUUGGCUUGAGUUCGGGAGAGGUGAGUGGAAUUCCCAGUGUAGAGGUGAAAUUCGUAGAUAUUGGGAAGAACACCAGUGGCGAAGGCGGCUCACUGGACCGACACUGACGCUGAGGCGCGAAAGCGUGGGGAGCAAACAGGAUUAGAUACCCGGGUAGUCCCUGUCUCUUAUAC
Molecule: ribosomal RNA, 310 nt
Filed under: uncultured bacterium
Lineage: Bacteria
Description: partial 16S ribosomal RNA
Rfam family: Bacterial small subunit ribosomal RNA
Source: RNAcentral